Puntigrus tetrazona (Sumatra barb) is the source of this 1948-nucleotide long non-coding RNA. RefSeq lists it as uncharacterized. Lineage: Eukaryota; Metazoa; Chordata; Actinopteri; Cypriniformes; Cyprinidae. The transcript has 4 exons. The record is from RefSeq and is a predicted model, not a curated record.
GGCAACACGUGUUUGCUCAUAAGGAGACUACGACCAAGCUUCUUAUCAAUGUUGAUUUAGAGUUAUCAGAAAAAGCAAGACGAGGACAUUUUUAAUAACAAGAUUCAGAGUGCUUGAGCAUUUAACAAAAGUGGCAUUCAUGUGUUAGACGGGACAAGAAUUUCUCAACGCGUUAUUCUUCCCAGCUGUAUCUUUCAUUUUCUUUCAUACAUAAUAGCCCAGACAUCUUUGUUAACUCCUGCAAAGCCGUCAGUGGACCAGUCACCUCCUCGUCUCAGUCAAAACCCUCUCUGAACCUCCAUCUUUCUGGAGGCAGGUGUCCUUGCUGACAACACUUCCACGACAGGACCAUGUGAAGUUUCCCGGCUACCCAUCUGAGGGCUUUUGUCCUAUCCCAGAAAAGUGGCAGUGCCCCUUCUCACUCCCCCGGGCAAAGACUUGGCUUUAAUCUGGCAUGGAGAGGAUGCCAGCCCCAUUCAGGCCGCUGAUGUCAUGCAUAUGCCCACCGUGGGAGAGCAGCGGAUGGACCCGCAGGGGGGCCAAGCGCCUUUCUCCUCUCACUCAAUCCGCUCUCUAUUGGGAUGAAUCAUUCUUUCAGGAAUGGCAGCCCACUGUGAGGCACAAUUGAUGGCGAUUAUCCCAAUUUUAUGCUACCUUCCAGAGUGAGAAGAUUCUCUCUCUGACUCUCUUUCUUCCUGUCUCUCUCUCUCUCUGACAGCUAUUACAACCUUCUGGCCCUUCUUGAACCAAAUACACACACACACACACACACACACACACACACAGAGAGAGCUCUUCUCAACAGCUUAUAGCAUAAUAAAUGAAUAAACCUGGAAUGAAACAUAGCUGAAAUGUACACCUGUCAUUGCAAAACAUCACUAAUGAUCUAGUAUAUCAUGCUCAGACGGUUACAUUUACAUGUUGUUCUUGUAGGGUCUGUUCCAUGAUCUUACUAUCUCUUUUUCACACGUUACCUCAUGAAGAAAGUUACUGGCACGUUUAAGAUCAUUUAAGAAACAUUUAGAUUAGAUUAUCAAGGUCUCUGAGAAGGCUGAGAGCAUAAACCUAAAAAAACUGACCAUAGCUGACCACUUAGACAAUCUUUUUUUCCCCAUUUUUAUUAGAUUGUACAAUUAACCACAAAACAUGACCUUAUUUUCUGGAAAUGUCACUUAGAAAUCUGUAAUAAUAUGAAUAUUGCAGCCAAAUUUGAUGAUCCAGAUAUUCCAGAUAUUCUUUUCAUAAUAUAUUGUGUCUAAGUCAGGAGAAAAUAGCACAAACAUCAUUAUCAUAGUUUCCUAACCGGCCGGUGUUAAGGGUAAAGUCACGACUGCGGCUGACAAACACACACACACACACACACACACACACUGUACGGGGUCAAGACUCGGGGCAAAAGUGAAUGUCUAGACAGAGGUCAAAUCCUUGCUGGAGGACACACACAAGCACACACACGUACAUCCCCAUCAGGUCAAAUCUAAUAGCAAGGACAAUAAAGCAUUUACAUUUUAAGUAAUGAAUCACACUCGCAAUGCAAUUCAAUACCAAUUAUGUGUUAAAGCAUAAAUCACUGAGCAUAAAUCCUGAUUGUGACAUAACAUUCUUGAUGAACAUAUAACAUUCUUGUAUGGUCUAAUCUCAAUUUAGUUUACUUAUGUUGCAAUUGGAUGUGUAAUAUAUAGUAUAAUGUAAAUCCAGCUGGUUACUGCAGAAUAAAUCGUAUUAUUGCUUACUUUUUGCCUUAGUCCACUCAUCAUCAGCAAGGUUGUACAUACUGAUACAGCAGAACGGAUAACACUUCAAGUCAUUUCAGUUUGAAUUAUUACUUCAAGCAAAGUCAGUUAGUAUAGUACUGUUUCAUCUGACACACUCAGUUCAGUUCAUGAAUCUGUCUCAAGUCAGGUCACCACUUUUAUCCAAAAGAGAUUGCGCCCAAGCCCAAACUGUA